Molecule: ribosomal RNA, 253 nt
Filed under: uncultured bacterium
Lineage: Bacteria
Description: partial 16S ribosomal RNA
Rfam family: Bacterial small subunit ribosomal RNA
Source: RNAcentral
GACAGAGGGUGCAAACGUUGUUCGGAAUUACUGGGCGUAAAGCGAGUGUAGGCGGUCUUGUAAGUCGGAUGUGAAAGCCCCGGGCUCAACCCGGGAAGUGCACUCGAUACUGCAAGACUUGAGUACCGGAGAGGUUGGUGGAAUUCUCGGUGUAGAGGUGAAAUUCGUAGAUAUCGAGAGGAACACCGGUGGCGAAGGCGGCCAACUGGACGAGUACUGACGCUGAGACUCGAAAGCGUGGGGAGCAAACAGG